RNAcentral lists this small RNA (518 nucleotides) under Histoplasma capsulatum. Its description in RNAcentral is "hypothetical RNA". Lineage: Eukaryota; Fungi; Ascomycota; Eurotiomycetes; Onygenales; Ajellomycetaceae. The record is from RNAcentral. RNAcentral also lists the same sequence under 1 other name.
CAGGUGAUGGAACCCUCUCAAGGUUGGCAAGGACUUGUUGAAGGCCCGGGCGUAUGCUUGAACAACCUACAUCUGCAGGCAAUUGGCUGUUCUUUCUUUCACAAAAAGGGAAUGUACUUUUCUGAGUUUGCUCUUGAUCAAUUUGUUGACAAACUUGUGUCUUAGAUAGAUCUUUUGAUCACUGUGUGACUGUGUUGGCACUUCAUCAUAUCUUUCUCAAUCAUGUCUUUCCAAAACUGCUAUGAGCUAAUUUGUCUCUGACCAGAUCGAAAACCUUCCAAAAACUCUUGAUGUGACAGCUGCUCUCUGUGAUUGUGUAUGCAUGACUCAUGUUUCUAGAUUCUGCUGGGGUUUAUAUCAGUAAGGUGUUGAAUUGCCAUUCUGUAUAGUUCUGGAUUGAAGAUGAACUGUUUCUGUGUAUUAUAAGAUAGUCAGAGCAAGAUGUUAUUGCCUAAUCAUAUAGUUGAAAUAUUCACACUUGCUAUAGAAAGGCAAUUCUCCAUAGAGGAAACAGGGAA